GUCCACAGUCGGCACAGGCACCACCAACGCCAUGCUAGACCCCGCAGACUGAACCGGAGCACUAGAGGGGUUGUCGGAAGAAUUACGCACAUGAUAGGCUUUAAGCAUAUUGACAUGACACAAACGAGAAGAGCGCCUGGUGUCUGGUGUUUUGAUAAUAUAAUUAGUAUCACUAACUUUGCGCUCCACAACAUACGGUCCAGAAAAACUGGCAGACAGUGAUGAACCUGGAAUUGGUAACAAAACCAGUACUUGAUCCCCGGGCAAAAACGCACGGUCUUUUGCUUGUUUAUCAUACUGUUUUUUCAUACGUGACUGAGAGGAAGAGAGAGACUCCUGAGCUAGCAUGCAGGCAGCAUGCAGCCUCUCCCGCAUCUGACUUACAAAGUGUAACACAUUCUUAGGGGUACUACUAGGCGCAUUAGAUAAAACGCGCUCCUUUAACACUUUUAACGGACCCCUAGGUGUGUGUCCGAACACAAGGUCAGCAGGGCUGAACCCCAACGAUUCCUGCACUGUUUCCCUAACAGCAAACAAAACAAAGGGCACCCCCUCAUCCCAAUCAGCACCCGUUUCCAUACAAUACUUCCUCAGCAUGGUUUUGAGCGUCUGGUGCCAGCGUUCCAGAGCUCCCUGACUCUCUGGGUGGUAAGCGCUGGAGACCUGGUGCGAUAUGGACAAUGUUUUUAAUGCAGAAGAAAACAGUUUGGACAUGAAAUUAGUUCCUUGAUCCGUCUGGAUCACUCUGGGGAGACCAAAGGUGGAAAAGAACUUAAUCAGACUCUUAAUAAUUGUCUUAGCUGUAAUUAUCCGGAGAGGAAUAGCCUCCGGGUACCGAGUGGCGCUGCACAUAAUGGUAAGCAGAAACUGGUUACCUGUUCGAGUUUUUGGUAAUGGACCCACACAGUCAACAAUCACCCUCUCAAACGGUUCUCCAAUCACAGGAAUCGGGUGAAGUGGCACACGAGGAACAGGGUUAUGAGCCAGUGACAAUACUUGCUGCCGUAAUGGUGAUGGAACAACUACCUGCCAAACUGUAUCCCAGUCCUCACCUGUUUUAUGUGCAGUCCAUUUACGCAUUAGAACACCAGCGUCCACAAGGUAAGCAGUCUCCUGUACUUUUGCGUUUUCAAAAGAGACCACAGAAUCAAAGCACUUAUUAAGGCUGACAUCCUCUUUUUGCCACUCAAUCAGCCUCUCUGAUGUGAUGGAUGACAACACAUCACCUAACUGGGGAGCGACCCCGCAUCCCCCUUUCUCAGCCUGCACAGAAGGUAAUCCCUCUGGUUUACUCUCUACAUCUACAGUUACACCCCGUUCAAAAACAGUAUCAGACAAAUUCACUGUAUCACACUGUAUUCACAAUUGAUUAUUGAUCCCAAUUAUGGAAGAUUUGCUUCUAUCUGUCCAAUAUUCAUAGCUCUGUGUCUGUUUUAAAAUGUUGGAAAAUCUCAACAUGCCUAAUUGCUAGAGUACAUGACCCCCAUUUCCUUCCAACUCAGCCUCCCCUAUACUUGACUCAGUUGAAACUGCAACACAAUUAUUCUUGUCUCUCAUAUAUUAUAAGAACACAUGUAAACUAAGCUUAAAGUACACA
This is a long non-coding RNA of Cyprinus carpio carpio, 1597 nucleotides long. The record is from Ensembl. NCBI's taxonomy places the organism in Eukaryota, Metazoa, Chordata, Actinopteri, Cypriniformes, Cyprinidae.